UGGGGGAUAUUGCACAAUGGGCGAAAGCCUGAUGCAGCGACGCCGCGUGGGGGAUGAAGGCCUUCGGGUUGUAAACUUCUUUUGCUCUGAACAAGGCAUGCUUUUGGGGUGUGUUGAGUGUAGGGGUUGAUUAGCGCCGGCUAACUACGUGCCAGCAGCCGCGGUAAUACGUAUGGAGCGAGCGUUGUCCGGAAUUAUUGGGCGUAAAGGGUGCGCAGGCGGCUUUACAAGUUGGAUGUGAAAUAUUGUGGCUCAACCACAAACGUGCAUCCAAAACUGCAAAGCUUGAGUUAAGGAGAGGUAAGUGGAAUUCCUGGUGUAGCGGUGGAAUGCGUAGAUAUCAGGAGGAAUACCGGUGGCGAAGGCGACUUACUGGACUUAAACUGACGCUCAGGCACGAAAGCGUGGGGAGCAAACAGG
This 420-nucleotide ribosomal RNA is filed under the name Fusobacteriota bacterium. RNAcentral's name for it is "Fusobacteria bacterium partial 16S ribosomal RNA". It matches the Rfam family "Bacterial small subunit ribosomal RNA", at positions 355 to 776 of the family's 1533-position model. The record is from RNAcentral. Lineage: Bacteria; Fusobacteriati; Fusobacteriota.